CCUACGGGUGGCAGCAGUGGGGAAUAUUGGACAAUGGGGGGAACCCUGAUCCAGCCAUGCCGCGUGUGUGAAGAAGGCCCUCGGGUUGUAAAGCACUUUCAGUGAGGAAGAACGCCUGGUGGUUAAUACCCAUCAGGAAAGACAUCACUCACAGAAGAAGCACCGGCUAACUCCGUGCCAGCAGUCGCGGUAAUACGGAGGGUGCGAGCGUUAAUCGGAAUUACUGGGCGUAAAGCGCGCGUAGGUGGCUUGAUAAGCCGGUUGUGAAAGCCCCGGGCUCAACCUGGGAACGGCAUCCGGAACUGUCAAGCUAGAGUGCAGGAGAGGAAGGUAGAAUUCCCGGUGUAGCGGUGAAAUGCGUAGAGAUCGGGAGGAAUACCAGUGGCGAAGGCGGCCUUCUGGACUGACACUGACACUGAGGUGCGAAAGCGUGGGUAGCAAACAGGAUUAGAUACCCUGGUAGUC
Molecule: ribosomal RNA, 465 nt
Filed under: Vreelandella stevensii
Lineage: Bacteria; Pseudomonadati; Pseudomonadota; Gammaproteobacteria; Oceanospirillales; Halomonadaceae
Description: partial 16S ribosomal RNA
Rfam family: Bacterial small subunit ribosomal RNA
Source: RNAcentral